UACAGAGGUCUCGAGCGUUAGGCGGAAUCACUGGGCUUAAAGCGUGUGUAGGCGGAUCGUUAAGUGCCUUGUGAAAUCCCACGGCUCAACCGUGGAACUGCUUGGCAUACUGGCGGUCUUGAGCAACCUAGGGGCGAGCGGAACAAAUGGUGGAGCGGUGAAAUGCGUAGAUAUCAUUUGGAACGCCAAUGGUGAAAACAGGUCGCUGGGGAUGAGCUGACGCUGAGACACGAAAGCCAGGGGAGCAAACGGG
RNAcentral lists this ribosomal RNA (253 nucleotides) under uncultured bacterium. RNAcentral's name for it is "partial 16S ribosomal RNA". It matches the Rfam family "Bacterial small subunit ribosomal RNA", at positions 524 to 776 of the family's 1533-position model. The record is from RNAcentral.